UGUAAUACCUUUAAUAUGGCUACAAUCUCUACUUGAACAUAUAUAUAUGUUCAAGUAGAGAUUGUAGCCAUAUUAGAUACAAUUUGUA
This 88-nucleotide microRNA precursor is filed under the name Pelobates cultripes (western spadefoot toad). The record is from RNAcentral. Lineage: Eukaryota; Metazoa; Chordata; Amphibia; Anura; Pelobatidae.